RNAcentral lists this non-coding RNA (97 nucleotides) under Corynebacterium halotolerans. RNAcentral's name for it is "TPP sequence". It matches the Rfam family "TPP riboswitch aptamer (THI element)". Rfam says of the family: Vitamin B(1) in its active form thiamin pyrophosphate (TPP) is an essential coenzyme that is synthesised by coupling of pyrimidine and thiazole moieties in bacteria. The previously detected thiamin-regulatory element, thi box was extended, resulting in a new, highly conserved RNA secondary structure, the THI element, which is widely distributed in eubacteria and also occurs in some archaea. Analysis of operon structures identified a large number of new candidate thiamin-regulated genes, mostly transporters, in various prokaryotic organisms. RNAcentral also lists the same sequence under 1 other name. Lineage: Bacteria; Bacillati; Actinomycetota; Actinomycetes; Mycobacteriales; Corynebacteriaceae. The record is from RNAcentral.
CCAACGACAUUGGGGUGCGCGCCGCCGGCGCGCUGAGAUCAGACCCACUGAACCUGCUCUAGCUCGUACUAGCGAAGGGAUUGUCUUGGCUUCCUCA